Molecule: long non-coding RNA, 754 nt
Filed under: Bemisia tabaci
Lineage: Eukaryota; Metazoa; Arthropoda; Insecta; Hemiptera; Aleyrodidae
Description: lncRNA ENSSSA2NGG004870
Source: RNAcentral
CGUAGAGUCUCCGCGUCUCGCGCAUUGACGUCACACAAUCCGCCAUGACACCUGCAUGCGCCAAUCAAAUCACUCAUACACCGCCGCCCGACAUCUUGGAUGCAGUAACAAGUUGAAACCAGUCGUGCCGGUGUCGAAGUCGUUUGUUGUUAUGCGUUGUGUGGUAUUGCGUCUAAAGUGAGCCUAAAAUCGAUUUUCCGGGUUUACUCGUGUUUUUGGUGUCAUUUGUGAACUUUACUUUUGUGAAAGUGAUAAUGUGUAUCAGUGUCAAGUAGUGACAGUACUUAUUAUAAUGUGGACUCUAAUUUACAAAUGUGACGCGGAAGAGUAUGAUGCUGUGCCCAGUGUGUGGAUCAUCACGAAGUCUUCUGCUAAAUAUCCUACUGACGAACCCAUCACUACUGUUAUCGACCUAGCUGCAGCCGGCGAGGAUUUGGCGACAUUUGAUCCUAUUUCUAUUCAAGUGAUCAAAGAGGAGUAUGAUUCUUUCAAAAAGUGCUCUGACGAUGCCUGGCGGCUAAAUGGUGGAAGAGCAAGAGCAUCGGAAUCUGAAAGAGAACCGAAAGGUAGAGGCCACCGGCAAAAAAAGAAACUAGCCGCUUAUCAUCAUCAGACUCAAAUGACGAUUCGUCUGAUGAACCUACCAGAAAAAAAUCAAAGAAAGGUGGCAAGCGAGGACGGAGGAAGAGACUUGAUUCAUCUGAUGAAGAUGAGGAGAGGCGGAGGAAAAUUGAGGUGGCCUUGGAAAAAGUAA